Long non-coding RNA from Haliotis rubra (blacklip abalone), 1369 nucleotides. RefSeq lists it as uncharacterized. The transcript is spliced from 3 exons. Lineage: Eukaryota; Metazoa; Mollusca; Gastropoda; Lepetellida; Haliotidae. The record is from RefSeq and is a predicted model, not a curated record.
AACCUCAUUUUACCUCACCUAACCCCCCAUCCCCAUUUCAUUGGGCCUCAUUUUCAUAAAAAUGGAGUAAUUUGUUUCCAUCAGAACUACAUAUUUUCAGAGACUGAGCGUGGGGAAUGAAACCCGGGAUUUUCGCCAAUUCGGACUUAUAAGACCUACCAACUGCUCAUUUAAUUGCGUUCUUUCUGUGUCAGAGCUGGGAUGGAGUCUGUAGGUAGAGGUGUUGUGUAACAACUGUGAGCAGAUGACACCAUUUCUGUGAACAAAGGCUAUCGACAACUUUCCUUGGACAACCAUAGGUCCAGGUUGGAUCCAUUGGAUCUAUGUGGGGCUGCUGAGAUUGAACCCACCGGCGCACACUCUGGUAACAGGAGCAGCCCCAUAGUGUCAGGAAUAGCAGCGGGUACCUCCUGCCGUAUCACUGGGGGAAUGAGAAUACAGUUCGAGGCUGUCAACCGAGCAAUACCGAGAAUAAAAUACACCACAGGGGUGCUUCAUAAAUGUCCAGGUGUAUAGAUCGUGUGGUGAAUCUCGGCAGGAGAAUAACUGACUGUCAUCUAGUGCUUUCAGCCGGUGCGUACUUUGUGGAGGCCUGUCUUGUGUACUGACAAGUCGUCGUGAUGUUGCUGGAGCAGUGGUUGCUGCGAUGUUGAAGACCACUGGCUCAAACAAGUCGGCGAAUUUACCUCUAACAGGCGGUGUACAUGAAGAUAUUAUACGGACGCUUCUUACCUCAGCCACUACACGCAGAGUUGUGUGUUAUCCUAAAGAAAUUAAACUGACGUACAAAAAAAAAGCACCCACUUGGUGCUUUCCGACAAACAACGAACAAGGGAGAUAACACACGAUGUUCGUACUCCUGGCCACCCUCCUCCUGUAUCCGCUGUGCGCCGUCGCCGAGGUGCAGCAAAGUUUGUUUGACAGACUCCCCUCCAUGGACGACAAGAUACUCACGUCCCAUGUCGUCAUGCCGAAGACCAUCCUGGACCUUGGGGCAUGCGGUUUUCACUGCCUGGUGAACUCCAAGUGUAAAGCCUUCUUCCACCACCAGACAAAGUCCCUGUGCCAGCUCCAGGCGGAGAAGGCAUCUGGUGGCAAGGAAGAGAAGGGAUGGUUGCACUACUUCAAGAAGUGAGAGGCUCAGGUGUGCGAGGUUUCCCAACACCCGGCAUGAGACGGUUCCUGGUUUGAUUCAAUGAAUGCCUUCAAGACAUUCAAACACUUUCUGUUUUUCCAUCUGCGAUUUACCUAUAUGGUGCAUGUAUUUUAUUACCUCGAAUCUUGUUUCCUUGAAUUAAGUGUCUAUCAUAUUUAAUAUCCAGAGUCCUUUGAAAAUUACGAAAAUAAAAAAUAUUUGUAUGGAACGGUU